Molecule: ribosomal RNA, 474 nt
Filed under: uncultured bacterium
Lineage: Bacteria
Description: bacterial SSU rRNA
Rfam family: Bacterial small subunit ribosomal RNA
Source: RNAcentral
AGAGUUUGAUCAUGGCUCAGAGCGAACGCUGGCGGCAGGCUUAACACAUGCAAGUCGAGCGGGCGUAGCAAUACGUCAGCGGCAGACGGGUGAGUAACGCGUGGGAACAUACCUUUUGGUUCGGAACAACACAGGGAAACUUGUGCUAAUACCGGAUAAGCCCUUACGGGGAAAGAUUUAUCGCCGAAAGAUUGGCCCGCGUCUGAUUAGCUAGUUGGUGAGGUAACGGCUCACCAAGGCGACGAUCAGUAGCUGGUCUGAGAGGAUGAUCAGCCACAUUGGGACUGAGACACGGCCCAAACUCCUACGGGAGGCAGCAGUGGGGAAUAUUGGACAAUGGGCGAAAGCCUGAUCCAGCCAUGCCGCGUGAGUGAUGAAGGCCCUAGGGUUGUAAAGCUCUUUUGUGCGGGAAGAUAAUGACGGUACCGCAAGAAUAAGCCCCGGCUAACUUCGUGCCAGCAGCCGCGGUAAUUC